AGCGAACGUUAGCGGCGGGCUUAACACAUGCAAGUCGAACGAGAAAGCGGCUUCGGCCGUGAGUAAAGUGGCGGACGGGUGAGUAACACGUGGAUGAUCUACCCUUGAGCGGGGGAUAACAGUCCGAAAGGAUUGCUAAUACCGCAUACGUCAGCUGACGAUGGUCAGUUGGGAAAGCAGCCCUCUUCAUGAAAGGUUGCACUCGAGGAUGAGUCCGCGUCCCANCAGCUAGUUGGUAGGGUAAUGGCCUACCAAGGCUAAGACGGGUAGCUGGUCUGAGAGGAUGAUCAGCCACACUGGAACUGAGACACGGUCCAGACUCCUACGGGAGGCAGCAGU
This 339-nucleotide ribosomal RNA is filed under the name uncultured bacterium. Its description in RNAcentral is "bacterial SSU rRNA". It matches the Rfam family "Bacterial small subunit ribosomal RNA", at positions 29 to 355 of the family's 1533-position model. The record is from RNAcentral.